This 1812-nucleotide long non-coding RNA is filed under the name Homo sapiens (human). Its description in RNAcentral is "HSALNT0254947". Lineage: Eukaryota; Metazoa; Chordata; Mammalia; Primates; Hominidae. The record is from RNAcentral.
GGGGGGAAACCACACACUCCACACUCUUGAACCUCAGGGUUAGAGAGACCCAGGUGUCACCUGUUUCCUAGACAUUUUGGGGCUGCCACUCUCUGCGUGAGACAACAGCCACCCUUUCCCUCGAUCACAUCCCCUACACUUCACUUCCUCUCUCCGUGUCCCCCUUCCUCAAUUCAGAAUGUCACCUGGUGAUAAGAUGACAUGCAUUUGAGCCUCAAUCCCCUUCCAGCAUCCCCUCUCCUCUGCCCCGCAAGCCACAAGCUGGCAGCUUUCCGAUUCCAGAGCAAGCUUGCCACACGAAUCCUGCGAGGAACAGCAGUUAUGUCUUAAUCUCCUCUCCUCCUGUCCCCACCGGAGGCUGAGCCACUCUGCCUGGGAAGGACGGAGGAAGGGCAACCUGCACAGGCUUUGCCCGAGAAGGGUUCUCAUCCUCCUUGCAAAUUCUAAGAGGACACCCACCCAUUGGAAGAAAGUACGAGACCCUCCCAGAAGGGGGCUACAGCGGUCAGCACUGCGCCCGCCAAACCUAAAGCUCAUCUCAAGAUCUUCCCGUGGCUCCGACCGACUCUGCAAAUGGAGCUUAAUGGGGUUUUCCCUCCCGCUCGCCCCCAUCCCGAACUCUCUCCACGCCCCGCUUCUUCCCCCACGCACACGGCGGCUGCACCGUCACAGAAAGCAGCCGCUGGAAUAAUCAGCGAAGCCACAGGUCUCCCCAUCUUGGCAAGUGGAGGUGUGCGCUGCCCUCAGACAUCUGUGAACCGCUGUUCAACGCCAACCCCGAAGGCAGAAGGGGAAACCAAGUCACCUCCCAGAAAGACGUUUGAUGAGCAGAGAUAGAUUUGCCUCCAGACUGGUACCAGGUCUGGGGAAACCCAGGCAGAGCCCCAGGCUCUAUGCGACCCAAAGAAGAAAAAAAUGGGUGCACAGUGAUGGCUCCAGGUCUCCCCACCCAGAUGCUACCACGAAAUCCCUGGCAUCCACGAAGCUUCCCCCUGUUCCAUGGUGGAAAUUGGGGGAAAAUGGACUUGUGUCUCCAAGCAGGGUCCAUGGACACUGGACGAUGCCUGAAAUCCCCUGGGAGGCAGGGAAAAAAGGCGCACUGAACGCUCAACCGGGGUAUAAGGAGUGAUUUUUUUUUCUCUGCUGGCAGCAGGCAGGAACCUGGGGUUUGAAUGUCCCCUUCUCUGUCGCCACCUCACGCAGACUUCAGAGGCUCUCAAGGUUUCCUGGAGAGGGGGAAAUCGUCCCCGGAGCUGACCUGCCAACCAGUAGCACCCUCCAGCGCCUCAGCCGGGCCACGCCAAAAUGACCUGUCACCCAUCUCCCGCGGGGAGUGGGGAGCGGGCCAGUCCACCGCCUCUUGGGACGGCAUCUCUGGACGGCCACUGACAGUACCAGUCUCUGUCACCCCCUGGGGGGUUAGGGGCAAUGUCAUCGGCCAGGGUGGCAGAAAUAGAAAAGUGCGUGAGCUCACCAGGCAGCCUGGGUCUCCUGCGACGUUUUGUUUGCCUGAGCCCAAUUAGAACAACUCUCAGGAUGAUGGAGUAUGGCGGGCGGUGGCCCCCAGGGGGCUGGGAGGCCUAGCCCCCAUGCAGAAGUGCACCGUCAUGAUGAGGGUGUCCCCCGGGCCUGGGGAACAGGGCAGGACCCUGCUUCCCGGAGGGAAAUAAUGAAGACUCCGCCAGCCUGCCAGCCAGAAAGAGAUGCCCCACGGAAGGCUUUGUGGAGGGCAGCGGGGGGGUAGGGGAGGGAUGCCCAGGUGGGGACUCAGUCAGGCCCAAGCUGGGGGGCUGUGGGAUUUGAGGGCGGGAA